Hibiscus syriacus is the source of this 264-nucleotide long non-coding RNA. RefSeq lists it as uncharacterized. NCBI's taxonomy places the organism in Eukaryota, Viridiplantae, Streptophyta, Magnoliopsida, Malvales, Malvaceae. The record is from RefSeq and is a predicted model, not a curated record. The transcript is spliced from 3 exons.
AUUAUGUAAAGUCCGUUCAAGAUAUUUCCGAUUCACGUAGACGUACAUUGGAUAAAGCUUUUGAUAAUAUGAACAGCCUGAGGAUUUCAUUACAUAUCGACGAUUAUAGUGAUGAAGUUGUUGAAAUUGCUAGACCUUUUAUGAAAUUGGCCUUGAACGGAAUUUCACUAGGGGGCGCAGAUCAGAGCUAGUAGAGGCUGCAUGUCUUUAUCUUGCCUGUCGGUGAGGAAUCUUUUCUUUCUUAAAUUUGUAAUUUGGUUACAU